GCAUUCGUGAUUCGGUGGUAGAAUUCUUGCCUUUCAUGCAGGGGAUCUGGGUUUGAUUCCUGGCCAAUGUA
RNAcentral lists this transfer RNA (71 nucleotides) under Loxodonta africana (African savanna elephant). It matches the Rfam family "tRNA". Rfam says of the family: Transfer RNA (tRNA) molecules are approximately 80 nucleotides in length. Their secondary structure includes four short double-helical elements and three loops (D, anti-codon, and T loops). Further hydrogen bonds mediate the characteristic L-shaped molecular structure. tRNAs have two regions of fundamental functional importance: the anti-codon, which is responsible for specific mRNA codon recognition, and the 3' end, to which the tRNAs corresponding amino acid is attached (by aminoacyl-tRNA synthetases). tRNAs cope with the degeneracy of the genetic code in two manners: having more than one tRNA (with a specific anti-codon) for a particular amino acid; and 'wobble' base-pairing, i.e. permitting non-standard base-pairing at the 3rd anti-codon position. Lineage: Eukaryota; Metazoa; Chordata; Mammalia; Proboscidea; Elephantidae. The record is from Rfam by way of RNAcentral.